Molecule: ribosomal RNA, 3385 nt
Organism: Lupinus angustifolius (narrow-leaved blue lupine)
Lineage: Eukaryota; Viridiplantae; Streptophyta; Magnoliopsida; Fabales; Fabaceae
Rfam family: Eukaryotic large subunit ribosomal RNA
Source: Rfam
GAACCUCAAGUCAGGCAGGGCUUCCCGCUGAGUUUAAGCAUAUCAUUAAGUGGAGGAAAAGAAACUAACAAGGAUUCCCUUAGUAACAGUGAUCGAACAAGGAAAAGCCCACCAUGAGAAUUGGUCGCCCUCAGUGUCCGAAUUGUAGUCUGGAGAAGCGUCCUCAGCGGCGGACCGGGCCCAAGUCCCUUGGAAGGGGGAGCCGUAAAGGGUAAGAGCCUCGUCGUGCCCAGACCCUAUCACACCAUGAGGCGCUAUCGGCGAGUCGGGUUGUUUGGGAAUGCAGCCCCAAUCGGGCGGUUAAUUUCGUCCAAGGCUAAAUACUGGCGAGAGACCGAUAGUUAAUAAGUACCACGAGGGAAAGAUGAAAACGACUUUGAAAAGAGAUUCAAAGAGUGCUUGAAAUUUUCGGGAGGGAAGAGGAUGGGGCCGAACAAUGUGCCUCGGUCGGAUGUGGAACAGCGAGAGUCGGUCCGCCAAUCGACUCGGGGCAUGGACCAACACGAAUUGUGAUGGUGGCCCAAGCCCGGGCUGUUGACAUGCUCGUGGAGACGUCAUCAUCGCGAUUGUGAUUGGAAGCACAUACCACUUGGUGUUCUUCGACACCUGCGUGCUACAAGCGUCGGCCUACGGGCUCCCCAUUCGGGCCAUCUUGAAACACGAACCAAGGAGUCUGACAAGUGUGCGAGUCAGCGGGCAAGUAAACCCGUAAGGCGCAAUGAAGGUAAUUGGUGGGAUCCCCUUAUGGGUUGCACCACUGACCGACCCUGAUCUUCUAUGAUGGGUUCGAGUGAGAGCAUACCUGUCGGGACCCCAAAGAUGGUGAACUAGGCCUAAGCGGGACCAAGCAAGAGGAAACUCUAGUCGAGUCCCGUAGCGAUACUGACCUGCAAAUCAUUCGUCUGACUUGGGUAUAGGGGCGAAAGACUAAUCGAACCGUCUAGUAGUUGGUUCCCUCUAAAGUUUCCCUCAGGAUAGGUGAAGCCCACGGGUGAGUGCUAUCCGGUAAAGCCAAUGAUUAGAUGUAUUGGGGGCACAAUGACCUCGACCUAUUCUCAAAAUUUAAAUAGGUAGGAUGGUGUAGCUACUUUGUUGAGCCACGCCACGAAAUCGAGAGCUCCAAGUGGGCCAUUUUUGGUAAGCAAAACUAGCGAUGCGGGAUGAAAUGGAAGAUGGGUUACGGUGCCCUACUGCACACUAACCUAGACCCCACAAAGGGUGUUGGUCUAUUAAGACAGUAGGAUGGUGGUCAUGGAAGUUGAAAUCCGCUAAGGAGUGUAUAACAACUCACUUGCCAAAUUACCUAGCCCUGAAAAUGGAUGGUGCUAAAGCACACGACCUAUACCCGGUCGUCGGGGCAAGGGCCAAGCCCCAAUGAGUAGAAGGGAGCGGCGGUCGCUACAAAACCUGGGGUGUGAGCCCGGGCAUAGCAGUCGUCGGUGCAGAUCUUGGUGGUAGUAGCAAAAUAUUCAAAUGAGAACUUUGAAGGCCAAAGAGGGGAAAGGUUCAAUGUGAACGACACUUGCAAAUGGGUUAGUCGAUCCUAAGGGACGGGGUAAGCCCAUCUGAUAGUGCUCUAAGCGCACACUCUGAAUGGGAUUCAGGUUACAAUUCCUGAACCGGGAUGUGGCGGCUGACGACAAUGUUAAGGAGUUUAAGGAGUCCGGAGACGUCGGCGGGGGGGCCAGAAAGAGUUAUCUUUUCUGUUUAACAGCCUGCCCACCCAGGAAAUGGCUCAGUCGGAGCUAGGGUCCAACGACUAGAAGAGCACUGCAUGUCACGUGGUUUCCGGUGGGCCUCAGGCGGCCCAUGAAAAUCUGGAGGACCAAGUGCCUCCGACGUCCGGUCGUACUCAUAACUACAUAAGGUCUCCAAGGUGAACAACCUCUGGUCGAUGGAACAACGUAGGCAAGGGAUGUUGGCAAAACGGAUCUGUAACCUCGGUUACAGGAUUAGCUCUAAGGGCUGGGAACGGGGGUCCCAGUCCCGAAUCUAUCAGCUGUCGGUGGACUGCUCGAGCUGUUCGUGCAGCGACAAUAGGUCAUCGCAUGCCAGUCGGGGGAUGGAUUGGGAAUGGCCCCUUCGAGGCCGCUUCCCCGGGCAUCGCAUAGUCGACUUAGAACUGGUAUUGACAAAGGGGAUCUGACUAUUUAAUUAAAACAAAGCAUUGCGAUGGUCCCUGCGGAUGUUGAUGUAAUGUGAUUUCUGCCCAGUGCUCUGAUUGUCAAAGUGAAGAAAUUCAACCAAGCGCGGGUAAACGGCGGGAGUAACUAUGACUCUCUUAAGGUAGCCAAAUGCCUCAUCAUCUAAUUAGUGACAUGCAUGAAUGGAUUAACGAGAUUCCCAUUGUCCCUGUCUACUAUCCAGGGAAACCACAGCCAAGGGAACAAGCUUGGCAGAAUCAGCAAGGAAAGAAGACCAUGUUGAGCUGGACUCUAGUCCGACUUUGUGAAAUGACUUGAGAGGUGUAGGAUAAGUGGGAGCUAGAAACAACGGAAGUGAAAUACCACUACUUAUUCCGUGACUUAGAGGCAGGGUGCAACCCCUGUUUUUGGACCAAAGGCCAGCCUCGGCCGGUCGAUCGUGGAGGAAGACAUUGUCCAGUGGGAAUUUUGGCUGGGGCAGCACAUCUAUUAAAAGAUAACGCAGGUGCCCUAAGAUGAGCUCUACGGGAAGAGAAAUCUCGUGUGGAAUAAAAGGGUAAAAGCUCGUUUGAUUCUAAUUUCCAGUACGAAUACGAACCGUGAAAGCAUGGCUUAUCGAUCCUUUAGUCCUUCGGAAUUUGAAGCUAGAGGUGUCAGAAAAGUUACCACAUGGAUAACUGGCUUGUGACACCCAAGCGUUCAUAGCGAUGUUUUUUUAUCCUUCGAUAUCGGCUCUUCCUAUCAUUGUGAAGUAGAAUUCACCAAGUGUUGUUUGUUCACCCACAAAUAGGCAACGUGAGCUGCGUUUAGACCAUCAUGAGACAGGUUAGUUUUACCCUACUGAUGACAGUGUCAAAAUAGUAAUUCAUCCUAGUACGAGAGGAAUCUAUGAUACGCACAAUUGGUUAUCACGCUUGGUUGAAAAGCUAGUGGUGUGGAGCUACGGUGUGUUCGAUUAUGACUGAACGCCUCUAAGUCAGAAUCCAGGCUAGAAGCGAUGCAUGUGCUUGUUGCCCAUUUGCCUACCUGCAGUAGGGGGCCUCGGCCGCCUAGAGUCCCGUGCCGUUGGUGACCCUCGCAGGGUGGACGAGCCUCGCGGUACGCCUUGAAGCGCUAUUCUGCAUUGGGCAGCAGGUAGAAUCCUUUGCAUAUGACUUAAAUAUGCGACGGGGUAUUGUAAGUAGCAAAGUGGCCUUGCUACCACAAUCCACUUAGAUUCAAUCCUUGUCGCUUCGAUUCAU